UGGCAUCUGAUUUGGAACAAAGAUUAAUCGCUAAGGGAUGGGGAUGCGUCUGAUUAGGUAGUAGGCGGGGUAACGGCCCACCUAGCCAACGAUCAGUAGGGGUUCUGAGAGGAAGGUCCCCCACAUUGGUACUGAGACACGGACCAAACUCCUACGGGAGGCAGCAGUGAGGAAUAUUGGUCAAUGGACGAGAGUCUGAACCAGCCAAGUAGCGUGCAGGAUGACUGCCCUAUGGGUUGUAAACUGCUUUUAUGCGGGAAUAAAGUUCGGCACGUGUGCCGUUUUGUAUGUACCGCAUGAAUAAGGACCGGCUAAUUCCGUGCCAGCAGCCGCGGUAAUACGGAAGGUCCGGGCGUUAUCCGGAUUUAUUGGGUUUAAAGGGAGCGCAGGCCGAAGGUUAAGCGUGACGUGAAAUGUACCGGCUCAACCGGUGACUUGCGUCGCGAACUGGCUUUCUUGAGUGAGUACGACGUCAGCGGAAUUCGUGGUGUAGCGGUGAAAUGCUUAGAUAUCACGAAGAACCCCGAUUGCGAAGGCAGCUGACGAGUCCUUAACUGACGCUAAUGCUCGAAAGUGCGGG
RNAcentral lists this ribosomal RNA (580 nucleotides) under uncultured rumen bacterium. Its description in RNAcentral is "bacterial SSU rRNA". It matches the Rfam family "Bacterial small subunit ribosomal RNA", at positions 186 to 765 of the family's 1533-position model. The record is from RNAcentral.